AUGGGCAUAAGUCACCAAAUUUCUACUGCAUAUCAUCCUGAGUCCCAAGGGGCACUCGAAAGAUUUCAUCAAACCCUGAAAAACCUGCUGCGUAAUUAUUGUGUGGAAACUGGGAGAGAUUGGGUUGAGGGUCUUCCUUUUCUGAUAUUUGCAAUAAGAGAGUCAGUGCAAGAAUCUCUUGGCUUUAGCCCCUCAGAACUUGUGUUUGGCCAUACAGUUUGUGGGCCUCUGAAGUUGUUAAGCGAACAAUUGUUGGAUCAAAGUUCUAAACCCAUUCCGGUAGACGAUUAUGUCACUUCGAUCCGUGAGAGGUUGCAUAAAGCCCAAAGUCUUGCCAAACUUCAUCUUUCCGCUGCCCAAGCUAAGAUAAAGGCGCGUUUUGACAAAAGAGCUGUGAAAAGAGACUUUCGCCCUGGUGAUUCCGUGUUGGUUCAACUUCCAACCCCUGGUUCCAUUUCCCAUGCAAAAUUCUCUGGUCCGUACCUGGUUGAAAGGAAGUUAAAUGAGACAAACUUUCUUGUAGCUACUCCUGAUAGGAAAUGCAAGAGCCAUGUGUGUCAUGUAAACCGGCUUAAAACUUAUGUAGACAGAACUCACUUUGGACUGACUGCAGAUCAGACUGAGUGUUCACCGCUGACUGCCGCUAUUGCCACUGUGGGUGUAGUGGCAAAUUACUCCUUGGAGGAGGAUGGCUUAAUGAGCUAUGACGUUCCGGUUUCCUCUACUCGUCUGAAGAAUUCUUCUAUUAUGCAAAAUCUUUCACAUUUCCUUUGCCAUCUGUCUGGUGAACAGUCUGAAGAUUUAAUCAAAUUACUGUAUGCUUUUCCCACCCUAUUUAGUGAUGUGCCAGGCAGAACAACCGUGUGUGUGCACGACAUUGAUGUUGGUGAUGUAGCACCUAUAAAACAACAUCCUUACAGGGUAAAUCCACAGAAACGGGCGAUCAUGCAGACAAAAGUUGAGUAUAUGCUGCAUCAUGGAAUUACUACGCCCAGCCAUAGUCCUUGGAGUUCCCCCUGCUUGCUUGUUCCAAAGCCUGAUAAUAGCUUUCGGUUUUGCACUGAUUAUCGGAAGAUCAGCAGAGUAACUCCAAUCCUAUUAUUGUGUACACUGACCAUAACCCUUUGGUGUUCCUUUCCCGGAUGUCAGGUUCCAACCAGCGAUUCCUACGGUGGUCUCUCGUUGUCCAAGGAUAUAAUCUGGACAUUAAUCAUAAGAGGGGUGCCAAAAAUGUUAUGGCUGAUGCUCUCUCCAGAGUAUGAAAUUGUUCCCUCACUGACACUUUCCUCUUUACAAGUGUAA
Long non-coding RNA from Cyprinus carpio (common carp), 1302 nucleotides. Lineage: Eukaryota; Metazoa; Chordata; Actinopteri; Cypriniformes; Cyprinidae. The record is from Ensembl.